Molecule: long non-coding RNA, 260 nt
Organism: Austrofundulus limnaeus
Lineage: Eukaryota; Metazoa; Chordata; Actinopteri; Cyprinodontiformes; Rivulidae
Exons: 3
Source: RefSeq, a predicted model, not a curated record
AAACAAAUGACUCAGGCAACAGAUAAAAGGUUCAGUGAGUUUAUUUACAGGGUGGAUCUGGAGACAGGCUCUGAGGGGAGAUGGUGGAGGCUUGUUGAGGACUCUCCCAUGAAGCAUUUGGACAACUGUUCCUGUGACUGGAUCCUCUCAUUUACCUUCAGGAGCCGUUGACUGUAUCUCUCCGCCUCCAUCCUGCCACUCUCCAACUGAUAUGUAAACACUCUACACACUCUCUGAAUAUCUUCUACUUACCUCCUGGA